Molecule: ribosomal RNA, 488 nt
Filed under: Neoscytalidium dimidiatum
Lineage: Eukaryota; Fungi; Ascomycota; Dothideomycetes; Botryosphaeriales; Botryosphaeriaceae
Description: eukaryotic LSU rRNA
Rfam family: 5.8S ribosomal RNA (bases 161-314)
Source: RNAcentral
CGGCCCGAUCCUCCCACCCUUUGUGUACCCACCUCUGUUGCUUUGGCGGGCCGCGGUCCUCCGCGGCCGCCCUCCGUCCGGGGGGUGGCCAGCGCCCGCCAGAGGACCAUCGAACUCCGGUCAGUGAACGUUGCCGUCUGAAAAACAAUCAAUAAACUAAAACUUUCAACAACGGAUCUCUUGGUUCUGGCAUCGAUGAAGAACGCAGCGAAAUGCGAUAAGUAAUGUGAAUUGCAGAAUUCAGUGAAUCAUCGAAUCUUUGAACGCACAUUGCGCCCCUCGGUAUUCCGAGGGGCAUGCCUGUUCGAGCGUCAUUACAACCCUCAAGCUCUGCUUGGUGUUGGGCACCGCCCUUCCGCGGGCGCGCCUCAAAGACCUCGGCGGUGGCGUCUUGCCUCGAGCGUAGUAGAAAACACCUCGCUUUGGAGCGCACGGCGCCGCCCGCCGGACGAACCUUUUGAACUUUCUCAAGGUUGACCUCGGAUCAG